This 482-nucleotide ribosomal RNA is filed under the name uncultured bacterium. RNAcentral's name for it is "partial 16S ribosomal RNA". It matches the Rfam family "Bacterial small subunit ribosomal RNA", at positions 28 to 507 of the family's 1533-position model. The record is from RNAcentral.
GAUGAACGCUAGCGGCAGGCCUAAUACAUGCAAGUCGGACGGGAUUCAGGAGCUUGCUUCUGAUGAGAGUGGCGCACGGGUGCGUAACACGUAUGUAACCUACCUUUAUCAGGGGGAUAGCCUCUCGAAAGAGAGAUUAAGCCCGCAUAAAAUCACAGCACAGCAUUGUGUAAUGAUCAAAUAUUUAUAGGAUAAAGAUGGGCAUGCGGAACAUUAGCUAGAUGGCGGGGUAACGGCCCACCAUGGCGACGAUGUUUAGGGGAUCUGAGAGGAUGGCCCCCCACACUGGUACUGAGACACGGACCAGACUCCUACGGGAGGCAGCAGUAAGGAAUAUUGGUCAAUGGGCGGAAGCCUGAACCAGCCAUGCCGCGUGCAGGAAGACGGCCCUACGGGUUGUAAACUGCUUUUAUACGGGAAUAAACCCAGAUACGUGUAUCUGGCUGAAUGUACUGGAAGAAUAAGGAGCGGCUAACUCCGUG